GCCUGAGAGGGCGACCGGCCACACUGGGACUGAGACACGGCCCAGACUCCUACGGGAGGCAGCAGUAGGGAAUAUUGGGCAAUGGGCGAAAGCCUGACCCAGCGACGCCGCGUGAGGGAUGAAGGUCUUCGGAUUGUAAACCUCUUUCAGUAGGGAAGAAGCGAAAGUGACGGUACCUAAAGAAGAAGCACCGGCUAACUAUGUGCCAGCAGCCGCGGUAAUACAUAGGGUGCAAGCGUUGUCCGGAAUUAUUGGGCGUAAAGAGCUCGUAGGUCGUUUGUCGCGUCGAUUGUGAAAAUCUGAGGCUCAACCUCAGACCUGCAGUCGAUACGGGCAAACUAGAGUGUGGUAGGGGAGACUGGAAUUCCU
Molecule: ribosomal RNA, 369 nt
Filed under: uncultured bacterium
Lineage: Bacteria
Description: bacterial SSU rRNA
Rfam family: Bacterial small subunit ribosomal RNA
Source: RNAcentral